RNAcentral lists this ribosomal RNA (373 nucleotides) under uncultured bacterium. RNAcentral's name for it is "bacterial SSU rRNA". It matches the Rfam family "Bacterial small subunit ribosomal RNA", at positions 522 to 895 of the family's 1533-position model. The record is from RNAcentral.
AAGACGUAGGGGGCGAGCGUUGCCCGGAUUCACUGGGCGUAAAGCGGGUGCAGGCGGCCGGGUAAGUCCCGUGUGAAAGCCCACGGCUCAACCGUGGGACGUCGCGGGAAACUGCUCGGCUUGAGGGCAGCAGAGGGUGGUGGAAUUCCCGGUGUAGCGGUGAAAUGCGUAGAGAUCGGGAGGAACGCCAGUGGCGAAGGCGGCCACCUGGGCUGUCUCUGACGCUCAGACCCGAAAGCUGGGGGAGCGAACGGGAUUAGAUACCCCGGUAGUCCCAGCCCUAAACGAUGCUCACUAGGUGUCGGGGGGUCACUCCCUCGGUGCCGAAGCUAACGCAUUAAGUGAGCCGCCUGGGGAGUACGGCCGCAAGGCU